GACGAACGCUGGCGGCGUGCUUAACACAUGCAAGUCGAACGAUGAAGAAAAGAAUCGAAGCUUCGGCAGAAAUUCAUUUCGGAUUAGUGGCAGACGGGUGAGUAACGCGUGAGCAACCUACCUCUUACAAAGGGAUAGCCUCGGGAAAACGGGAUUAAUACCAUAUAACAUUGCGACGAAGCAUUUCGAUGCAAUCAAAGCUACGGCGGUAAGAGAUGGGCUCGCGUCCCAUUAACCGGAUGGUGAGGUAACGGCUCACCAUAGUGACGCUGGGUAACCGGCCUGAGAGGGUGAACGGUCACACUGGAACUGAGACACGGUCGAGACUCCUACGGGAGGGAGCAGUAGGGAAUAUUGCACAAGGGAGGGAACUCUGAUGCGGCGACGCCGCGUGAGUGAUGAAGGAAUUCGUUUCGUAAAACUCUGUUCUAUGGGAAGAAAAGGACUGUACCAGAGGAGAAAGCGCCGGCUAAAUACGUG
RNAcentral lists this ribosomal RNA (480 nucleotides) under uncultured bacterium. RNAcentral's name for it is "partial 16S ribosomal RNA". It matches the Rfam family "Bacterial small subunit ribosomal RNA", at positions 28 to 507 of the family's 1533-position model. The record is from RNAcentral.